CAAUAGCGUAUAUUAAAGUUGUUGCGGUUAAAAGCUCGUAGUUGGAUUUCUGUCGAAAACGGCCGGUCCGCACUAUGUGCGUGUAUCUGGUUCGGUUUUGGCAUCCUCAUGAAGAACGUAACUGCGCUUGAUUGCGUGGUGCGGUAUUCAUGACUUUUACUUUGAGGAAAUUAGAGUGUUCACGGCAGGCAAGCGCCUUGAAUAUAUUAGCAUGGAAUAAUAAUAUAGGAUCUUGGUCCCAUUUUGUUGGUUUCUGGAACUAAGAUAAUGAUUAAUAGGGAUAAUUGGGGGCAUUCGUAUUAACGCGUCAGAGGUGGAAUUCUUGGAUUGCGUUACGACGAACUACUGCGAAAGCAUUUGCCAAGGAUGUUUUCAUUGAUCAAGAACGAAAGUAUGGGGAUCGAAGACGAUUAGAUACCGU
Molecule: ribosomal RNA, 421 nt
Filed under: uncultured eukaryote
Lineage: Eukaryota
Description: SSU rRNA
Rfam family: Eukaryotic small subunit ribosomal RNA
Source: RNAcentral